GUGAAAGCCCGGGGCUCAACUCCGGGACUGCGUUUGAAACUGUGUGACUGGAGUGCAGGAGAGGCAGGCGGAAUUCCUAGUGUAGCGGUGAAAUGCGUAGAUAUUAGGAGGAACACCAGUGGCGAAGGCGGCCUGCUGGACUGUAACUGACGUUGAGGCUCGAAGGCGUGGGGAGCAAACAGG
RNAcentral lists this ribosomal RNA (183 nucleotides) under uncultured bacterium. RNAcentral's name for it is "partial 16S ribosomal RNA". It matches the Rfam family "Bacterial small subunit ribosomal RNA", at positions 594 to 776 of the family's 1533-position model. The record is from RNAcentral.